AACGAACGCUGGCGGCAUGCCUAACACAUGCAAGUCGAACGAGACCUUCGGGUCUAGUGGCGCACGGGUGCGUAACGCGUGGGAACCUGCCCUUAGGUUCGGAAUAACUCCCCGAAAGGGGUGCUAAUACCGGAUAAUGUCUUCGGACCAAAGAUUUAUCGCCUUUGGAUGGGCCCGCGUUGGAUUAGCUAGUUGGUAGGGUAAAAGCCUACCAAGGCGACGAUCCAUAGCUGGUCUGAGAGGAUGAUCAGCCACCCUGGGACUGCGACACGGCCCAGACUCCUACGGGAGGCAGCAGUGGGGAAUAUUGGACAAUGGGCGAGAGCCUGAUCCAGCAAUGCCGCGUGAGUGAUGAAGGCCUUAGGGUUGUAAAGCUCUUUUACCCGGGAUGAUAAUGACAGUACCGGGAGAAUAAGCUCCGGCUAACUCCGUG
This 433-nucleotide ribosomal RNA is filed under the name uncultured bacterium. Its description in RNAcentral is "partial 16S ribosomal RNA". It matches the Rfam family "Bacterial small subunit ribosomal RNA", at positions 29 to 507 of the family's 1533-position model. The record is from RNAcentral.